This 425-nucleotide ribosomal RNA is filed under the name Mesogonia ludicula. Its description in RNAcentral is "partial large subunit ribosomal RNA". The record is from RNAcentral. Lineage: Eukaryota; Metazoa; Arthropoda; Insecta; Hemiptera; Cicadellidae.
AAUGGCUGCAGUAAUUUGACUGUGCAAAGGUAGCAUCAUAAUUAGUCUUUUAAUUGAGGACUAGAAUGAAUGGAAUAAUGAGAUAUUAAUUAUGUUAAUUAUAUUAUUUUAAUUUAAUUUUUAAGUAAAAAAGCUUAAUUUUAUUUUCGGGACGAUAAGACCCUAUAGAACUUUAAUUUUUUUUUUUUUAAUUUUUAUUUAGAAAAUUAUUUUUUAUAAUAAUUCUUAAAAUUUUAAUUGGGGUGAUUAAUAAAUUUUAACUUUAUUUUUUUUUUUCAUUUAUAAGUGUUUAUUUUGAUCCAAUUCUUUUUUUUGAUUAAAAGAUAAAGUUACCUUAGGGAUAACAGCGUAAUUUUAAUGGGGAGUUCUUAUUUAUAAUAAAGUUUGCGACCUCGAUGUUGAAUUAAGAUUAAUAUAUGGGGUAG